RNAcentral lists this ribosomal RNA (439 nucleotides) under uncultured bacterium. RNAcentral describes it as "partial 16S ribosomal RNA". It matches the Rfam family "Bacterial small subunit ribosomal RNA", at positions 338 to 795 of the family's 1533-position model. The record is from RNAcentral.
CCUACGGGGGGCAGCAGUGGGGAAUAUUGCACAAUGGGGGAAACCCUGAUGCAGCGACGCCGCGUGAGUGAAGAAGUAUUUCGGUAUGUAAAGCUCUAUCAGCAGGGAAGAAAAUGACGGUACCUGAUUAAGAAGCCCCGGCUAACUACGUGCCAGCAGCCGCGGUAAUACGUAGGGGCAAGCGUUAUCCGGAUUUACUGGGUGUAAAGGGAGCGUAGGCGGGAGCCGAAGUAUGAAGUGAAAGGCCGGGGCUUAACCCCGGAACUGCUUUGGAAACUGUGCGGCUAGAGGGAAGGGGAGGUAAGUGGAAUUCCUAGUGUAGCGGGGAAAUGCGGAGAUAUGAGGAGGAACACCAGUGGCGAAGGCGGCUUACUGGACUGUAACUGACGUUGAGGCUCGAAAGCGUGGGGAGCAAACAGGAUUAGAUACCCGGGUAGUC